GAACCUGAAGAUGUCGUUUCAGGCU
Molecule: non-coding RNA, 25 nt
Filed under: Rattus norvegicus (Norway rat)
Lineage: Eukaryota; Metazoa; Chordata; Mammalia; Rodentia; Muridae
Source: RNAcentral